This 352-nucleotide ribosomal RNA is filed under the name Macrobrachium vollenhovenii. RNAcentral describes it as "partial small subunit ribosomal RNA". It matches the Rfam family "Bacterial large subunit ribosomal RNA", at positions 1941 to 2502 of the family's 2925-position model. The record is from RNAcentral. Lineage: Eukaryota; Metazoa; Arthropoda; Malacostraca; Decapoda; Palaemonidae.
UUUGACCGUGCGAAGGUAGCAUAGUCAGUAGUCUUUUAAUUGGAGGCUUGUAUGAAUGGUUGGACGAGGGACAAGCUGUCUCUUUUACGUGGUUUGAAUUUAACUUUUAAGUGAAAAGGCUUAAAUUAUUUAGUGGGACGAUAAGACCCUAUAAAACUUUAUACAGGUUGGGUUAAAUUUGUGAUUUAGGUGAAAAGUAGUUUUAUUUGACUUGUAUUUUGUUGGGGCGACAUAGAUAUAAUAUGUAACUGUCUAUUAAAUUUAAUAGUGUUAAUUAGUUUUUGAUCCUUCUUUGUGGAUUAAAAGAAUAAGUUACUUUAGGGAUAACAGCGUGAUUUUCCUUGAGAGUUAU